AGAUUUAUCGGUGCAGGAUGGGCCCGCGGCCUAUCAGCUUGUUGGUGGGGUAAUGGCCUACCAAGGCGACGACGGGUAGCCGACCUGAGAGGGUGACCGGCCACACUGGGACUGAGACACGGCCCAGACUCCUACGGGAGGCAGCAGUGGGGAAUAUUGCACAAUGGGCGAAAGCCUGAUGCAGCGACGCCGCGUGAGGGAUGACGGCCUUCGGGUUGUAAACCUCUUUCAGCAGGGACGAAGCGCAAGUGACGGUACCUGCAGAAGAAGCACCGGCUAACUACGUGCCAGCAGCCGCGGUAAUACGUAGGGUGCAAGCGUUGUCCGGAAUUACUGGGCGUAAAGAGUUCGUAGGCGGUUUGUCGCGUCGUUUGUGAAAACCAGCAGCUCAACUGCUGGCUUGCAGGCGAUACGGGCAGACUUGAGUACUGCAGGGGAGACUGGAAUUCCUGGUGUAGCGGUGAAAUGCGCAGAUAUCAGGAGGAACACCGGUGGCGAAGGCGGGUCUCUGGGCAGUAACUGACGCUGAGGAACGAAAGCGUGGGUAGCGAACAGGAUUAGAUACCCUGGUAGUCCACGCCGUAAACGGUGGGCGCUAGGUGUGGGUUCCUUCCACGGAAUCCGUGCCGUAGCU
Molecule: ribosomal RNA, 634 nt
Filed under: Rhodococcus sp. (in: high G+C Gram-positive bacteria)
Lineage: Bacteria; Bacillati; Actinomycetota; Actinomycetes; Mycobacteriales; Nocardiaceae
Description: bacterial SSU rRNA
Rfam family: Bacterial small subunit ribosomal RNA
Source: RNAcentral